CGGAACGGGUGAGUAACGCGCGAGGAACCUGCCUCAAAGAGGGGGACAACAGUUGGAAACGACUGCUAAUACCGCAUAAGCCCACGGCUCGGCAUCGAGCAGAGGGAAAAGGAGUGAUCCGCUUUGAGAUGGCCUCGCGUCCGAUUAGCUGGUUGGUGAGGUAACGGCCCACCAAGGCGACGAUCGGUAGCCGGACUGAGAGGUUGAACGGCCACAUUGGGACUGAGACACGGCCCAG
Molecule: ribosomal RNA, 238 nt
Filed under: uncultured bacterium
Lineage: Bacteria
Description: partial 16S ribosomal RNA
Rfam family: Bacterial small subunit ribosomal RNA
Source: RNAcentral